GGUCAAGCUACUAAGGGCAGAUGGAGGAUGCCUUGGCGUCAGAAGGCGAUGAAGGACGUGGCAAGCUGCGAAAAGCUCCGGAUAGCUGCAAACAAGCUUUGACCCGGAGAUUUCCGAAUGGGGCAACCCGGCGGGGGUCAUACCCCGUCAUCACCCAGAUGAAUAUAUAGUUUGGGUGAGGCGAACGGAGGGAACUGAAACAUCUAAGUACCUCCAGGAAGAGAAAGAAAUCUCGAUUUCCUGAGUAGCGGCGAGCGAAAGGGAAAGAGCCUAAACCGUCGUCAUGUUAAAGCCCGUGUGCGUUGUGCCGGCGGGGUUGUGAGACUAGUUGUGUUGGGGACGCGGAUCCGACAAGGAGUUAUAAACUACUUUUCUAAUCGAAAGACCUGGAAAGGUCUCCCAAAGAAGGUGAUAGGCCUGUAGGUGAAAGAAAAGUAGCUCCUUAAUUAGUUCUCGAGUAGCACGGGACACGUGGAACCCUGUGUGAAUCUGGGAGGACCACCUCCCAAGGCUAAAUACUCUCUGACGACCGAUAGUGAACCAGUACCGUGAGGGAAAGGUGAAAAGCACCCCUGGCGGGGAGUGAAAAGUACCUGAAACCAUCUGCCUACAAGCUGUCGGAGGCUGAACUGGAUCUUCGGAUCCGGGAAUGCUGACGGCGUGCCUUUUGCAUAAUGAGCCGGCGAGUUACUGAGUGCGGCAAGGUUAAGUGUCUAAGACACGGAGCCGAAGCGAAAGCGAGUCCUAAUAGGGCGUUGAGUCGUAUUUAGUAGACCCGAAGCCGAGUGAUCUACCCAUGGCCAGGAUGAAGCGCGUGUAAAAACGCGUGGAGGUCCGAACCCACUAACGUUGAAAAGUUAGGGGAUGAGCUGUGGGUAGGGGCGAAAGACCAAUCAAACUCGGAGAUAGCUGGUUCUCCCCGAAAUGUCUUUAGGGGCAGCCUCGCGUAAAUUUGUGGCGGAGGUAGAGCACUGAUUGGGUUAGGGGCCCCACCAGGUUACCGACCCCAGUCAAACUCCGAAUGCCGCUCACAUGUAUCGCGGGAGUGAGGCCACGAGGGAUAAGCUCCGUGGCCGAGAGGGAAACAACCCAGAUCAUCAGUUAAGGCCCCAAAAUCCAGGCUAAGUGUAUCAAAGGAUGUGGAAUUGCCUAAACAGCUAGGAUGUUGGCUUAGAAGCAGCCAUCAUUUAAAGAGUGCGUAACUGCUCACUAGUCAAGUGAUUCCGCGCCGAUAAUUUGCGGGGCUCAAGCCUGGUGCCGAAACUGUGGACUCUAGAUACCCUGCGGGGGAUCUGGAUUGGUAGGGGAGCGUUCUGGCGUAGGCUGAAGUCGGUUCGAUAAGAACCGGUGGACGAACCAGAAGUGAGAAUGCCGGCACGAGUAGCGAUAAAACGGGUGAGAAACCCGUUCACCGUAAACCUAAGGUUUCCUGAGGAAGGUUAAUCCGCUCAGGGUUAGUCGGCCCCUUAGCCGAGGCCAAAAGGCGUAGGCGAUGGGAAACAGGUUAAUAUUCCUGUACCACUUUGCAGGUGUUUGAGCUAUGGGGUGACGCAGAAGUGAAAGGCCAGCCGGCGAUUGGAAGUGCCGGUCUAAGCCAGUAGGGUGGUUGUCUAGGUAAAUCCGGACAGCCGCGGUUUAAUCCGCAGCCUGAGAGGUUAUGGGGAGUCCAUUAGGACAUAAACUGGCCCUAAUCAUGCUGCCAAGAAAACCCUCUAUGUGAAUCUGUAGGGUGACCGUACCGUAAACCGACACAGGUAGGUGGGGUGAGUAUCCUAAGGUGCUCGAGUGAUUCCUCGGGAAGGAACUCGGCAAAAUUAUCCCGUAACUUCGGAAUAAGGGAUGCCCCUGAAGUGAAACCCCUCGCGGGUGGAGCGGAGGGGGCCGCAGUGAAGAGGCCCAAGCGACUGUUUACUAAAAACACAGGACUCUGCCAAGCCGAUGAGGCGAUGUAUAGGGUCUGACACCUGCCCGGUGCCGGAAGGUUAAGGGGAGGGGUUAGCCGCAAGGCGAAGCUCUGAACCGAAGCCCCGGUAAACGGCGGCCGUAACUAUAACGGUCCUAAGGUAGCGAAAUUCCUUGUCGGGUAAGUUCCGACCUGCACGAAUGGUGUAACGAUUUGGGCGCUGUCUCCUGGAAGAGCUCGGCGAAAUUGAAGCAGCGGUGAAGAUACCGUUUACCCGCGGAAAGACGGAAAGACCCCGGCACCUUUACUACAGCUUGAUAUUGAAUUUUGGAAUAGCAUGUGUAGGAUAGGUGGGAGGCUUUGAAGU
RNAcentral lists this ribosomal RNA (2270 nucleotides) under Candidatus Eiseniibacteriota bacterium. RNAcentral's name for it is "partial 23S ribosomal RNA". It matches the Rfam family "Bacterial large subunit ribosomal RNA", at positions 1 to 2163 of the family's 2925-position model. The record is from RNAcentral. Lineage: Bacteria; Candidatus Eiseniibacteriota.